This 253-nucleotide ribosomal RNA is filed under the name uncultured bacterium. RNAcentral describes it as "partial 16S ribosomal RNA". It matches the Rfam family "Bacterial small subunit ribosomal RNA", at positions 524 to 776 of the family's 1533-position model. The record is from RNAcentral.
UACGUAGGGUGCGAGCGUUGCCCGGAUUUAUUGGGCGUAAAGGGCGCGUAGGCGGCCACGCACGUCCGUUGUGAAAUCGCCCGGCUCAACUGGGCGGGGUCAGCGGAUACGGCGCGGCUGGAGCAAGCUAGGGGGCAAUGGAAUUCCCGGUGUAGUGGUGGAAUGCGUAGAUAUCGGGAGGAACACCAGUGGCGAAGGCGGUUGCCUGGAGCUUUGCUGACGCUGAUGCACGAAAGCGUGGGUAGCAAACAGG